Salvia hispanica is the source of this 650-nucleotide non-coding RNA. The record is from RefSeq and is a predicted model, not a curated record. NCBI's taxonomy places the organism in Eukaryota, Viridiplantae, Streptophyta, Magnoliopsida, Lamiales, Lamiaceae.
CCAAACUAACUGUAAACUCAACUACUUCUUCAUCAAAGUUAUCUUUUUUUCCUUCUUUAUUAGGCAAUUGUUUUUUUGUUGUAGCUUCGAGCAGAAAUACUUUGACCAUUUUCUUGAUCUGGACAAGUUCUCAGGAUUGAUGUUUUUGCUCCUACUGGAUUUCCUGAUCACCUACAUAAAGGAUUUGAGACUGUCACCUACAUGCUGCAGCAAAGAAUGAAGGAGGAGACAGCUGCUUGAUCAAACAUAGAUGGUCAAUUCUCUGAGUUCUUUUGAUUUUGGUGUUCCAGAUUAAGACUCCGGGUAGUCAAAUGGCGAAUUUUGAGGGGUUCUCUGCAAAGCUGCUAGAAUAGGUUGAGAUGCUAUCGCAAGUUUUAUGCUAAGCAAGCCUGUCCCUUUUCUCUCAGACUCUUUGAAUACGAGAUGAACUCUGCCAAGAAUUGUGGCGCGAAAUGCAUCAAGAACUACAUGACCAAAAACGGGAGAUGGAAGAAAUAAUGAAGUAGUUUAUGAUGUCAAGGCAACCCAACAAUCAAGUCACAAUCCUGAUUAUGAUGAUGAGUUGAUAUAUCUCAUGAACUCAAUUUGAAAACUCAGACACUUUAUGUUUAUUUUGGCUCCGUAUGUUGGAUUGUAUAUUUUGAUUAAUA